GACGGACGCUGGCGGCGUGCCUAAUACAUGCAAGUCGAGCGAAGUUUUUCUGGUGCUUGCACCGGAAAAACUUAGCGGCGAACGGGUGAGUAACACGUAAAGAACCUGCCUCAUAGACUGGGACAACUAUUGGAAACGAUAGCUAAUACCGGAUAACAGCAUUAACUGCAUGGUUGAUGUUUAAAAGUUGGUUUUGCUAGCACUAUGAGAUGGCUUUGCGGUGCAUUAGCUAGUUGGUGGGGUAAAGGCCUACCAAGGCGACGAUGCAUAGCCGACCUGAGAGGGUGAUCGGCCACACUGGGACUGAGACACGGCCCAGACUCCUACGGGAGGCAGCAGUAGGGAAUCUUCCGCAAUGGGCGAAAGCCUGACGGAGCAACGCCGCGUGAGUGAAGAAGGAUUUCGGUUCGUAAAGCUCUGUUGUUAGGGAAGAAUGAUUGUGUAGUAACUAUACACAGUAGAGACGGUACCUAACCAGAAAGCCACGGCUAACUACGUG
Molecule: ribosomal RNA, 499 nt
Filed under: uncultured bacterium
Lineage: Bacteria
Description: partial 16S ribosomal RNA
Rfam family: Bacterial small subunit ribosomal RNA
Source: RNAcentral